Molecule: ribosomal RNA, 465 nt
Filed under: Vreelandella stevensii
Lineage: Bacteria; Pseudomonadati; Pseudomonadota; Gammaproteobacteria; Oceanospirillales; Halomonadaceae
Description: partial 16S ribosomal RNA
Rfam family: Bacterial small subunit ribosomal RNA
Source: RNAcentral
CCUACGGGAGGCUGCAGUGGGGAAUAUUGGACAAUGGGGGCAACCCUGAUCCAGCCAUGCCGCGUGUGUGAAGAAGGCCCUCGGGUUGUAAAGCACUUUCAGUGAGGAAGAACGCCUGGUGGUUAAUACCCAUCAGGAAAGACAUCACUCACAGAUGAAGCACCGGCUAACUCCGUGCCAGCAGCCGCGGUAAUACGGAGGGUGCGAGCGUUAAUCGGAAUUACUGGGCGUAAAGCGCGCGUAGGUGGCUUGAUAAGCCGGUUGUGAAAGCCCCGGGCUCAACCUGGGAACGGCAUCCGGAACUGUCAAGCUAGAGUGCAGGAGAGGAAGGUAGAAUUCCCGGUGUAGCGGUGAAAUGCGUAGAGAUCGGGAGGAAUACCAGUGGCGAAGGCGGCCUUCUGGACUGACACUGACACUGAGGUGCGAAAGCGUGGGUAGCAAACAGGAUUAGAUACCCCGGUAGUC